CGAAAACGAUGGGACUUGAACCCACAGUCCCCAACGUGACAGGUUGGUGCUUUAACCAGUUAAGCUACGUCUCC
RNAcentral lists this transfer RNA (74 nucleotides) under Halamphora calidilacuna. RNAcentral's name for it is "tRNA-Asp". The record is from RNAcentral. Lineage: Eukaryota; Bacillariophyta; Bacillariophyceae; Naviculales; Amphipleuraceae.